Molecule: long non-coding RNA, 4327 nt
Organism: Petromyzon marinus (sea lamprey)
Lineage: Eukaryota; Metazoa; Chordata; Hyperoartia; Petromyzontiformes; Petromyzontidae
Source: RefSeq, a predicted model, not a curated record
UUAUUAUAUUAUUUUGGUGGUGGUGGUGGGGAGGAGGAGGAACUGUGGAGAAAUAGCCACGAGUGGUGCAAGCGGUGCGGCGGCCCCGCUAGCAUUGUGGCAUCGGACUUCCUUAUCAGCGGCGUUUUGCAAACAGGCGAGCGGCAGCGAUACGACCGCUGCCCACGGCUGCGUCGGACGCAAUCGGCUGGGUGCACGUGGCGUCGGGGAUCGACCGCAUGAGGCUCUCCCACCCCCACCCCUCUCCAUCCGCCACCACUCCCCAAAUUUCCGUGGUUGUCUGCGUUGCCCCCGUCGCUCGUGAGCACGGGCGUGGCGACGUCAAAUGUGCCGGGGACACACAUUUGACGGCGCGUCGUCUGUAACGGAAGGUCUCGUCCGAAACGGCGGAAAGUUUUCGACGGGGGUCGGUGGGGUCAGGACCUCGACGUUUUUUUGUUUUUUUUUUCCACGUGCGCCGUUGCUGUUGCAUCGUCGACAAGGCGGUGGUUUGGCGGUGGUGGUGGUUGGUGACCCCACCGAAGUGUUUGGGAAGGAUUUGAAUUCGUUCUCGUGGGACUUUUCGGCACGCGCCGCGUUCACUUGUAGGCCGCCUCCCGUCUCAUCGUCGUCGCUCUCAUGGCAGUCAACACCACAGAGGCAUUUGGGAUUGCCAUUACGAAGCUUGGACACGUAUUCUCUCAACUGCCUCCUCGCGAGGGAAACCAAGACAUUUUCAAAAACAAAGGGCACGAAAUCGCCGUGAUCGUCGCCAUCAUCAGCGGCGCCGUCAUCCUCCUCCUCGGCCUGUGUUUCAUCGUCUGCUGCCUGAGCAGGUGCUUGAGCAACACGUCAGCGCAGCGGAGAGACGCGCACUCAAGGAGCGUUGACCGGACAAGCCAUGUUGUGAACGUGUUCGAUGAGGAAAUAUCUUUCACGAGCACCUCUGGAAGUCAAUGGAAGAACAGUGCCACUGUGGACAGAAGCCCAAUGUAUUUCUGAACUACAGAGCCUACAGACAGGAAGCCAGAAGCCCCGUUUUGAGGUGACUGCUACUCCUACUGCGGCGUGUGAAGCGUUAGCCGAAGCCAUGCCAUCAGAUGCAACGCGUGGUGUUUAGAUCUUAUAUUUGCCAUAUUAUCCAACGUUGUCUCAGAUGAGGUGGCGGGGGGGGGGGUGCGCACACUGUGGCUGCUGCGAGUUUCCGCCGGGCAGUCUUUCUCAUUUACGAUCAGCAGAGGGCACUAUGGGCGAGGUCGUGACGACUGACUGGCUGCAACGUUGCAUCUACCAUAUUGGCCUGGCCGUCCAAUUUGAGCAGUAUUACUAUGGUGGUGGUGGUAGCAUUGAGGAUGGAAGUGUUUACUAUUUAUGAAAGCAUACAAAAAAUCAUAAACACAGUAGAAUAUUUUACUUGAUAACCCAACACAUCAAUGCACUUGUCAUGUUGAUGAUAUUUACAGAACAAUAAAUAUCAGCGUCAGAGUAACUCACGCAGUGAACAUUUUUUUCAGAUAUUUUUUUUUAUAUUUUCAAAAUCGGACUAAUUAAUACGUCACGGAGUAAAACCGAAUAUCAGUGUGCUUGUAUAAUUGUUAAUUGAUGAUAUAGGUUUGGGGAAAAGCUUGAGCUAAGUUUGAGUGCCAGCCCCAGCUAACGUCAGUGGCGAGUGAUAUCUGAAGUAGUCCUGGACACACUUCCCUUUAGCAACCUGAACUGACCAGUGUGGUGAAGUAUAGUCAAAUCAACCGCACCAUCUCCCUUGACUGGCAGAAUGUCGGCAACAAAGAUCUCCAUUUUCAUCAUGUUUUAUUAUCUCCAUUGUGCCUGAGGGCUUCGAAAUAAAUACGCUUUAUUUGAGUACAGUACAGCAUGUUGCUGUACGGAAUACAGUACCAUAAUUUGGGAACCUGAAGAAAAACAAACUAGGCUAGCAGAAGGCUCUGACUCAAACAAUACAAGAACGGGUAUUACUUUGGUUUGGACAUGUAAAUGGAAUGGAGACCAGAAAAUAACCCUGACCCUAACCACGUCACCAUUGGCCUCGGCCGACCAUGUGCAAGGAGCGGCGAGUAGAGACAACCCUCACAAAAGGUGGAUUGACAGAGGAUUUAAAAGAGACGCGGGCUGAGAGGAAAUGAUCGCCAUGACCAGGGAAAGGAAGCAGUGAAAGAAGGCCAAGGAACAUCGUCAUCAGCUGCCAAUGCCGGGCAGAAGAGAACAAUUAAGAUCUUGCCGUCCAUGGCUUUUUGUUGACAUGUUAUAUAUAAAGGAGGCUAAACGUUAAGGCCAUGUGUUGUGAAAAAGAGCCAGCAAAUGGCUCAUGAUUUUUGUUAAACGGAAUGCUUACACCGUUUGCAGAUAUGUUUGUAAUUCGCAGCGUUAACGUGGAUGUGACCAUACACAAACGUUCAUCCUGGUUAAUUUAUUGUGCUUGUGAACAAAAAAAAAAACUGAAUCCCCGUCUUUCAGCGUGAGACGCUUUGAAAGAGACAACUUCAAAGUUAAUAAGCAGGAGGGGGGAAACGCCGCAUUCCUGGGCGAAUUUAAAUGUGGCUUAGCGUUUUGAUGUCAGAGCAGUUCCAUUUCACAACUACAUCUCAGAAUAAUAAUUCAAAAUAUAAUUGCAAAAAAGAUGUGUAAUUUAAAAGCUUCAAUUGCACGUCAUGAAUAACAUAGCAAACCGCACAAUGCAGGGUUUUCUAAACUCCAGUCCUCACGACCUCCCACCACGCUCCGUCUUUCACCGUUCACCAAUUUACUCCUCCCCGUUCAAACUACUAAUUAAAUCAUUCCACCCUGAACGCGCCCGAUGAUUAUUUAACACGUGACUCGCUAAAGCAAUUAACGCCCUCUGCGUCAAGCGCGCACACACGCGCACAGAGAUCUCAGUCUUAUUUUGAAUCGGCCAUGAAACGCAGACUUCAUUUACUGCUUAGCGCGUCACGUGGUAUGUGUUUAACAAUCAUCGGGUGCGUGCAGCGUGGAACGAGUUAAUUUUUAUUUGAAUGGGGAGGAGUGAAUUGGUGGACGCCGACAGACGUGGCGUGGUGGUCGUGGGUAGCAAAGAUUGGAGUUUGGACAACCCUGGCCAAAUGGGUCACAUCCCCAUAUAUGUCGUGAACAUUUUCGCCCAAAUUGCGUCGAAAUGCACGCCGAUGCCUCUUGGUCGACAGCGAUGCGGCAAGCUGCCACGGCGAUAUAUUUCUGCCGGCAUGUAAAUCUGACCCAUAUCAGUCAUCCCAAUGAUAUUGUACGUGUAAUGUAUGUGUCAGUGCAUUUACGUUCAUAGCUGUUACGCUUUCACCACACGAUACGAUACAAUGUACAUGUGUGGUCCAGAUGUCUCGUGAUCCCCAUUUUACUUUAUGAAAACGUUAUUUUUUAUUUUUAAUAUAUAUUCCAAUGGGUGUAAAAUCAGAAAUAAGGGGAAGCAAAUGUUGGGGGUCAAUUAGUUGGGGGUCAAAAGACAUGUGGACCACCCUCUGUACAAUGUCGAGGCCUGUGACGAGAUCAUUCGUGAUGCGCCAGGUCUCAUCUUGGUUUCCAAGGAGCGGUUGAGCCCGGAUCGUUGCUCAGAUGGUCGAGCCAGCAUGUGGACUGAUGCAGGUUUUAAAGGCUCUCAAAGGACUCCGCCGUGCGUGGUGGACAGCAGAGGGCAGUGCAGAAAACUGCAUUCACCCGGUCUGAUAAAGGAGACGGCCAAUUAACCGAUGAACCACAUUGGUAUGGUGAGGGCGCCACAUUGGCAUUGGGAGAGCCCCACAUCCAGCAGUGGAUGACAAAAGACCCGUUCGUGUACAUUACUACCGUAGAGCACAAUAACACUGUGAGUAAUACAUAUACAGCGAAUGUAGACAAUUUUCUUUGGAAAUUACUCAAAUCGGUUGUGUUAUUAUUGCGUGGUUCAGCUUUUUUGCUUUUGAUAACAUUCUACAGUUGAGUGAUUUUUCGUUUAAACGUUUGUACGGAGUGGCGAUUUGCAUGUUUCAGCCUUGUUUAUUGCUUGCUCAGUAACGAAUAGGCGUUGUCCUUUUCAAGAAAUGAAAAUAACACUUGGCAGUGCAGAGUGGGCAUAAUUGUAUGCAUCCGUUCCUGUUGUAACACCCACCAUUCAUUACACUGAAGACUUUUUUUUCAUUUAACCGUGCGUUGGGAGACAUUUUUUGUUUGUUUUCACAGCAGUACGAUCUCGAGUCAGGACUGCGUCCAUCGUGUACCUGUGAAUGUUGGCUAGAGCGAGCCGUUGUAGCUCGGAAGUUCACUGUUCUUGCUGUGGGCCUAUAAUGUUGAUGAAUAAGAGAGCAAGACUUUUUUUAUUCAAUAAAUGAAUAAAAACUCGAAGAGA